ACCUCUAUUUCCACUUCCACCCAAGUAAUUUGAAGUGGCAGUGUAAGUAGCUGGUGA
Molecule: microRNA precursor, 57 nt
Filed under: Caenorhabditis briggsae
Lineage: Eukaryota; Metazoa; Nematoda; Chromadorea; Rhabditida; Rhabditidae
Description: Cbr-Mir-73-P3b_pre stem-loop
Source: RNAcentral